CCUACGGGAGGCAGCAGUGAGGAAUAUUGGUCAAUGGUCGGGAGACUGAACCAGCCAAGCCGCGUGGGGGAUGAAGGUAUAGAGUAUCGUAAACCUCUUUUGUCAGGGAACAAAGGCGGGGACGUGUCCCCGGAUGAGUGUACCUGAAGAAAAAGCAUCGGCUAACUCCGUGCCAGCAGCCGCGGUAAUCCGGGGGAUGCGAGCGUUUGCCGGGUUUAUUGGGUUUAACGGGUGCGCCGGCGGUCUGUUAAGUCAGCGGUCAAAGCCCGGGGCUCAACCCCGGCCCGCCGUUGAAACUGGCAGUCUCGAGUUGGAGAGAAGUAGGCGGAAUGCGCGGUGUAGCGGUGAAAUGCUUAGAUAUGACGAAGAACCCCGAUUGCGAAGGCAGCUUGCUGCAGCGGAACUGACGCUGAUGCUCGAAAGCGCGGGUAUCGAACAGGAUUAGAUACCCGAGUAGUC
Molecule: ribosomal RNA, 459 nt
Filed under: uncultured bacterium
Lineage: Bacteria
Description: partial 16S ribosomal RNA
Rfam family: Bacterial small subunit ribosomal RNA
Source: RNAcentral